CAGUCAACCUGUGGGAGGUGCAGG
This 24-nucleotide non-coding RNA is filed under the name Cricetulus griseus (Chinese hamster). The record is from RNAcentral. Lineage: Eukaryota; Metazoa; Chordata; Mammalia; Rodentia; Cricetidae.